AUGAACGCUGGCGGCGUGCCUAAUACAUGCAAGUCGAACGAAGAGCCCGGGUAGUAAUACUUGGGUUUCUUAGUGGCGAACGGGUGAGUAACGCGUUGGUGACCUACCCCAAAGUGGGGGAUAACAGAUCGAAAGGUCUGCUAAUACCUCAUGUUGUCAUCGUUUUUAGAAAGCGAUGAUCAAAGGAGCAAUCCGCUUUGGGAGGGGCCUGCGUCCCAUCAGCUAGUUGGUAGGGUAAUGGCCUACCAAGGCGUCGACGGGUAAGGGACCUGAGAGGGUGGCCCCUCACAAUGGAACUGAAACACGGUCCAUACACCUACGGGUGGCAGCAGUAGGGAAUAUUGCACAAUGGACGAAAGUCUGAUGCAGCAACGCCGCGUGUAUGAUGAAGGCCUUCGGGUCGUAAAAUACUUUUCAGGGAGAAGAGAAAGGACUGUACCCCUGGAAUAAGUCUCGGCUCACUACGU
This 467-nucleotide ribosomal RNA is filed under the name uncultured bacterium. Its description in RNAcentral is "bacterial SSU rRNA". It matches the Rfam family "Bacterial small subunit ribosomal RNA", at positions 29 to 506 of the family's 1533-position model. The record is from RNAcentral.